Molecule: long non-coding RNA, 2060 nt
Filed under: Paramuricea clavata
Lineage: Eukaryota; Metazoa; Cnidaria; Anthozoa; Malacalcyonacea; Plexauridae
Source: RNAcentral
AUAAAACCUAAAAGAACGAUGUUUAAAAUUGUUGUACAUGUGAAGUUUUUGGAAACUGUAUAUCGAGUCACUUUAAAACGCGAAGUGUCAUUGUUUAAAUAACUGUGUUGCGAAACGCGUAAUAAAACGAAAAAAGAACACGGAGUGACGCUUAUUUCAAAUACAUGUAACGUUUGAGCGAUACUGUACUUCAGCACUCAAAUGGUUAGCAAAUAAAUAGAUGACAUACUAGAUCAGUUUUAGUCAGCGUGUUAGGUCAUUGAUAUUGACAAACGUUCUCCAGAGCGAAAGAACAAUUUAUUCCAUGAAAAAUUCUAAAAUUAAACGAGACUUACCUGUAAGUUGAAGUUUGAUUGGAAUUCUGUGACUUGUUAUGCAGGAACAAGGGGAUCACAUGAGAUUGCGUAACAAUUACCCAACAUUCAGUCUUUAAAGAAACUGCCAAACAUUGGUUUGUGGGCAGGGUUAUACAUAAUAACAUGAGGCGGGCUGUGAUCCUUUUGUUCCUGCAUAACAAGUCACAGAAUUCCAAUCAAACUUCAACUUACAGGUAAGUCUCGUUUAAUUUUAGAAUUCUAUUUCCUAAUUGUUAUGCUACGUCACAAGGAAAUCACAUGAGAUUUUAAAGCCCAAUGUUUGGGAGUGAAAACAGAUAAACAAAGUGUAUAAACAACAAUGUAAAUGCUGAUAACAUAAACUAUACAAGCCUUAAUUAAAGUAGGCAACAGCUCACAGCAAAAAUAAUGUAAUGUACUGUGAAAAUUUUUAAAUAACUGUCUUUAGAACUGCUUCAGCAAAACUUGCCCCAUUUUCAACUGGUUUGUUAUAUAAUGUCUGAAAAGUUUCACAAUUAGACCAUCCUGCACUACUGAGUAUCUCAUCUAUCGAAACUCCCGCUGCCUUAGCUGCCGAAGUAGAUGCCGCCCUGUUUACCACCAUCGGUAAACUGUAUAUUCGUAAUGUCCAUUAGCGUUGUUUGUGUUCUUUGACCAGAUAGCAAUGCUAUUAACAUAACAAGUUUAUGAGAAUGUUCUUUAAGCGUGAUUUUCUCAAGAGGGUAUAAUGUCUUGAGGUACGUCAACACUAGGCUAACAUCCCAUGUAGUGUUAUAGCGUGGAAGGGCUGGCCUUUCCUGGAAAACACCACGAAGAAAUCUGCCCCACAGGUAUGUUCCCUGGUAAUUGAAUAAUGGCUGAUAAUGCUGAUCGAGCUGUAUUCAAGCCACUAUACUGAACGCCCCCAUCAAAUAGUACAGUAAAAAAGUCCAAAACAUCAGUUAGAGAGGGAGAAAUCGGAUUAACUUGUCUUUCACUACAGAAAAGUGCCCAUUUGUUGAGGUAAGUUUGGUACUGCUGGACAGUUCCGCUUCGCCAUGAUUUGAUGAUGUGGGCAGCUUGGUUUGAAAUGCCUUGACUUUGGAGUGAUUUCCAGAUAAGUGACAUGCCAGUAGUCUGAGUUUCUGAUGUAGUGGGUGCAUCUUGUCCAGAUUGUGAUGUAAAUAAAGUAGACGUUGCAUUUUGGGCAAAAUCCGUGGGUGGUUGACCAACAUUUGCAUUGCCACAGGGUACCACGGUUGUGUAGGCCACAGGGGUAUUAUCAGUACACCCUCUGCUGAUUCCUCCUGGAUCUUUUGCAAAACUUUUGUUAACAGGCUAAAAGGAGGAAAAGCAUAAAAGCUUUUUGUAGCCCAGUUCAUGCUGAAAGCGUCAACUGCUACAGCCUUAGGAUCUGGCUGCCAAGAGACAUAUUGCUCUAACUUCUUGUUAAGCCGGGAUGCAAACAAGUCCACUUGGGGCUUAAACAUUUUGACACAGAUCCUAUCAAAAACUUGAUCAUUUAAUGCCCAUUCUGUAUGGUCAUCAAAUUGCCUGGAUUUUGUAUCUGCUUCUACAUUAGUGACACCUGGGAUAUGGGUUGCCGAUACCCAGAUGUUUUUUUCUGACUGCACCAAAUCCACAUUUGUCUUACUAUUGCAUUGCAUUCUGAGGACUGGUUUCCACCCAUAUUAUUCCCAUAUGUAAGCUACAGCUGUGGUAUUGUCAAGUUCUAAUCGAACAUGU